AGGGACAGAGGUAUCUUCUAACAAGUGUACUCUCCCAAGACCUUAGGAGAGUGUUCUGAACAGGCAUAUUUUCUAAUGGCAUAGUAACAGACAAGGUGAAAAAGAAAAACUAAAUCAAGACAGCCUGCAUUGACACCACCAAUUUCUGAUACUUUCCCAAAGUCUGUAGUACUGUCCAACCUCUACAGAUGUCCUCCAAGAUAUGAGACAAUAUUCUUUGAACAAGAGGAUAAUAGCAAUCGAUUGACUGAAGAGCUUUACAGCAUGUUAACGCCUAUCAUUGGUCAAUGGAAUCUUUGUAUGUACAGAAGAAGACCUGGAAAGCAAAGUCUCUGUCACCCCUUCCCUGAAUUUCCUAACCAGUAGCUGCUCUGAAGGCUCAUCUGACAUGCUGGUGAAGAAGAAUUAAAAAAUCAAACAUCCCACUCAACCAUCCAAGAACACACAGAUAAAUUUCUUAUGGAGACGUUAGCCAGGACAGAAAGCAGGAAUCUGGGAGUGUGUCUGAAGGAUUUAUCUCUACUACAGAAUGCUACUCCUAGUUAGUCCAUUCGCUUAGUUGAGCCUUAAAUCAAUACUACCAACAUCAUCAAAAUUUACAAACACUGUGGGGUGUAUGGCAUUCUAUGAUAUCAUCACUAUCAGGAUUAAUUAGGCAUCAACAUUAUGAGGUCCACAGAAUUAGGCCCUGAGCCUUAGAGAUGACUUUCCUUCCCUAGAUCUGUCAAGCUGAGCCUGAGAAUUCAUGAAGAUGUAAUGCAAAGAACCACGUAUUGUGAAGGAAUUCAGAUACUUCUUCCUAACCAUACUGUGACUAAGGUUAUGGAGACAGGCAACUACCUUCUAGAAUAUGUCUGUGCAUGUACAAUCUGCCUUAAUAUAUUUACUUUUUAUCACUUUUGCUUCAAGUGGUAAUAGAUACUCCAGGAAACAAAAACUGGUGUUAUUUUAAUUUUGAUUCCUACACUUCAAAACUUUAGUAGGUAACAAUCAUUCAUAUUUGUAAUCUCACCAUAUGAGAAAAGUAUUUUCAUCAUUUUGGGCUAGCAUUUGGCUAUAUCAAUUAGAUAUAGAUAAAGCACCGAGAUGAGAAGCAGCUGAAUAAGCAUUUGAAUAUUUUAUCAUAAAUAGAAAUCAAUCAUAUUCAUU
Ornithorhynchus anatinus (platypus) is the source of this 1149-nucleotide long non-coding RNA. RefSeq lists it as uncharacterized. Lineage: Eukaryota; Metazoa; Chordata; Mammalia; Monotremata; Ornithorhynchidae. The record is from RefSeq and is a predicted model, not a curated record. The transcript is spliced from 3 exons.